This 196-nucleotide ribosomal RNA is filed under the name uncultured bacterium. RNAcentral describes it as "partial 16S ribosomal RNA". It matches the Rfam family "Bacterial small subunit ribosomal RNA", at positions 332 to 525 of the family's 1533-position model. The record is from RNAcentral.
AUUACUCCUACGGGAGGCAGCAGUAAGGAAUAUUGGUCAAUGGAGGGAACUCUGAACCAGCCAUGCCGCGUGCAGGAUGACUGCCCUAUGGGUUGUAAACUGCUUUUGUACGGGAAUAAACACUGAUACGUGUAUCAGCUUGAAUGUACCGUAAGAAUAAGGAUCGGCUAACUCCGUGCCAGCAGCCGCGGUAAUA